RNAcentral lists this ribosomal RNA (480 nucleotides) under uncultured bacterium. Its description in RNAcentral is "bacterial SSU rRNA". It matches the Rfam family "Bacterial small subunit ribosomal RNA", at positions 28 to 517 of the family's 1533-position model. The record is from RNAcentral.
GAUGAACGCUGGCGGCGUGCUUAACACAUGCAAGUCGAACGAAGAUGCCGGAGUGCUUGCACUUUGGCAGACUGAGUGGCGGACGGGUGAGUAACGCGUGGGUAACCUGCCUUAUACAGGGGGAUAACAGUUGGAAACGACUGCUAAUACCGCAUAAGCGCACGGUAUCGCAUGAUACAGUGUGAAAAACUCCGGUGGUAUAAGAUGGACCCGCGUCUGAUUAGCUAGUUGGUGAGGUAACGGCCCACCAAGGCGACGAUCAGUAGCCGGCCUGAGAGGGUGAACGGCCACAUUGGGACUGAGACACGGCCCAAAACUCCUACGGGAGCAGCAGUGGGGAAUAUUGCACAAUGGGGGAAACCCUGAUGCAGCGACGCCGCGUGAGUGAUGAAGUAUUUCGGUAUGUAAAACUNUAUCAGCAGGGAAGAUAAUGACGGUACCUGACUAAGAAGCAACCGGCUAAAUACGUGCCAGCAGCCG